Molecule: small RNA, 855 nt
Filed under: Arabidopsis thaliana (thale cress)
Lineage: Eukaryota; Viridiplantae; Streptophyta; Magnoliopsida; Brassicales; Brassicaceae
Description: ATSL102960
Source: RNAcentral
AGGGGAGAUUGGAGAACAAAAGGCUUGAGAAUAAAUUGCAAACCAUAUAUGAUUCGGUUUAGACUCCAUGCCUAGUAGGAUUAUGAGAUUGUAAUAAGAUAAUAACGUUGUAGAAUUCAUAUUGGGAAGCCCUAUAUGAUUCGGUUCACUGGUUGCGUUGCAAAUAUUCUACGAGGUGAUUUGGUUUGAGACUUGAGAGAGUUAUAGGCAAUGAGGAAUGAAGCCCAGGCCCUGUGAUCUUUUUACUAUCUUACUAAGCAAAUCUAAGCUAAUUGUAAAACAAGAAAACAUUUUAGAGAGAGAAAUUCAUAGAUUUGAGAUCCCAUAAAUAGAGAUAAUUGAUGUUCAUUUUGGUAAUAAACCCCAAAAAGAAAAGUCAUAACGUUCCGUCAAAGAAACAAAAGUAAAGGCCUAGUAGUACGGCCCAAAUACUUUUGGCGGGAGUUAGAAGAAAAAUAAAAAGUCAAGCACGAAAUGUGUUUGAUGGAAUGCCAAAGCGAGAGAGAGACAACAAUGGUUCAAGAAGAACCUAUGAAACUGAGAAUCACCGAAGUUGUUGACAUUGAAAGAAGGUGGUGAGCUGUCAUUCUUUUUUUCCUUCUUCUUCUUCUCUUUCUCCUAUUGACAUUGUUGGAGGUCUCAUUCUUCUUCAUAUUCUUCUUUGGCCUUCGAUUCUUCUUCUUAGGCUUUGGUGGUUUUUCUUCUACUACAUUAGCUUUGGAGUCUAAACACAUAGGCAUAAUAAUUUUUGAGUAUAUAAUUUGUUGAUAUGAAUAGUUAAAUUUUUGAAUUUAAAUAAUAUUUGUAUUAACUAAUUAAUAAAAUUAUUUUAUUAUCGUUUUCUGAAUUUUUAAU